RNAcentral lists this ribosomal RNA (1785 nucleotides) under Mycobacterium tuberculosis. RNAcentral's name for it is "bacterial LSU rRNA". It matches the Rfam family "Bacterial large subunit ribosomal RNA", at positions 1266 to 2925 of the family's 2925-position model. The record is from RNAcentral. Lineage: Bacteria; Bacillati; Actinomycetota; Actinomycetes; Mycobacteriales; Mycobacteriaceae.
ACCGGUGGUGGAGGGUGGGGGAGUGAGAAUGCAGGCAUGAGUAGCGACAAGGCAAGUGAGAACCUUGCCCGCCGAAAGACCAAGGGUUCCUGGGCCAGGCCAGUCCGCCCAGGGUGAGUCGGGACCUAAGGCGAGGCCGACAGGCGUAGUCGAUGGACAACGGGUUGAUAUUCCCGUACCCGUGUGUGGGCGCCCGUGACGAAUCAGCGGUACUAACCACCCAAAACCGGAUCGAUCACUCCCCUUCGGGGGUGUGGAGUUCUGGGGCUGCGUGGGAACUUCGCUGGUAGUAGUCAAGCGAAGGGGUGACGCAGGAAGGUAGCCGUACCAGUCAGUGGUAACACUGGGGCAAGCCGGUAGGGAGAGCGAUAGGCAAAUCCGUCGCUCACUAAUCCUGAGAGGUGACGCAUAGCCGGUUGAGGCGAAUUCGGUGAUCCUCUGCUGCCAAGAAAAGCCUCUAGCGAGCACACACACGGCCCGUACCCCAAACCGACACAGGUGGUCAGGUAGAGCAUACCAAGGCGUACGAGAUAACUAUGGUUAAGGAACUCGGCAAAAUGCCCCCGUAACUUCGGGAGAAGGGGGACCGGAAUAUCGUGAACACCCUUGCGGUGGGAGCGGGAUCCGGUCGCAGAAACCAGUGAGGAGCGACUGUUUACUAAAAACACAGGUCCGUGCGAAGUCGCAAGACGAUGUAUACGGACUGACGCCUGCCCGGUGCUGGAAGGUUAAGAGGACCCGUUAACCCGCAAGGGUGAAGCGGAGAAUUUAAGCCCCAGUAAACGGCGGUGGUAACUAUAACCAUCCUAAGGUAGCGAAAUUCCUUGUCGGGUAAGUUCCGACCUGCACGAAUGGCGUAACGACUUCUCAACUGUCUCAACCAUAGACUCGGCGAAAUUGCACUACGAGUAAAGAUGCUCGUUACGCGCGGCAGGACGAAAAGACCCCGGGACCUUCACUACAACUUGGUAUUGAUGUUCGGUACGGUUUGUGUAGGAUAGGUGGGAGACUGUGAAACCUCGACGCCAGUUGGGGCGGAGUCAUUGUUGAAAUACCACUCUGAUCGUAUUGGGCAUCUAACCUCGAACCCUGAAUCGGGUUUAGGGACAGUGCCUGGCGGGUAGUUUAACUGGGGCGGUUGCCUCCUAAAAUGUAACGGAGGCGCCCAAAGGUUCCCUCAACCUGGACGGCAAUCAGGUGGCGAGUGUAAAUGCACAAGGGAGCUUGACUGCGAGACUUACAAGUCAAGCAGGGACGAAAGUCGGGAUUAGUGAUCCGGCACCCCCGAGUGGAAGGGGUGUCGCUCAACGGAUAAAAGGUACCCCGGGGAUAACAGGCUGAUCUUCCCCAAGAGUCCAUAUCGACGGGAUGGUUUGGCACCUCGAUGUCGGCUCGUCGCAUCCUGGGGCUGGAGCAGGUCCCAAGGGUUGGGCUGUUCGCCCAUUAAAGCGGCACGCGAGCUGGGUUUAGAACGUCGUGAGACAGUUCGGUCUCUAUCCGCCGCGCGCGUCAGAAACUUGAGGAAACCUGUCCCUAGUACGAGAGGACCGGGACGGACGAACCUCUGGUGCACCAGUUGUCCCGCCAGGGGCACCGCUGGAUAGCCACGUUCGGUCAGGAUAACCGCUGAAAGCAUCUAAGCGGGAAACCUUCUCCAAGAUCAGGUUUCUCACCCACUUGGUGGGAUAAGGCCCCCCGCAGAACACGGGUUCAAUAGGUCAGACCUGGAAGCUCAGUAAUGGGUGUAGGGAACUGGUGCUAACCGGCCGCAAACUUACAACACCC